GCCUCCGUAGCUCAGUGGAUAGAGCAACGGUUUCCUAAACCGCAGGUCGCAGGUUCGAUUCCUGCCGGGGGCGC
This 74-nucleotide transfer RNA is filed under the name uncultured Acidimicrobiaceae bacterium. RNAcentral describes it as "tRNA-Arg". It matches the Rfam family "tRNA". Rfam says of the family: Transfer RNA (tRNA) molecules are approximately 80 nucleotides in length. RNAcentral also lists the same sequence under 1 other name. Lineage: Bacteria; Bacillati; Actinomycetota; Acidimicrobiia; Acidimicrobiales; Acidimicrobiaceae. The record is from RNAcentral.